RNAcentral lists this long non-coding RNA (376 nucleotides) under Nicotiana benthamiana. Its description in RNAcentral is "long non-coding RNA (NBEN_LNC002252)". Lineage: Eukaryota; Viridiplantae; Streptophyta; Magnoliopsida; Solanales; Solanaceae. The record is from RNAcentral.
CAAUGCCUAUAGCAUGAUACCAAAGUAGUAAAUAUAAUGGAAGAGGAUCUGAAACAGUAACUGGAAAAAAGUAGGUGAGUAAAUCAUACCUGUUCAAUUCGUUUGAUAUGGAAGAAAUGGUGAGGAACUAGAGUUGCGAUAAGAAGACAAGAAAUUAAUUACUACAAGCAUCUCUUAUAUAACCAAGUAGAUGAACUUUCCUCAAAUAUACUGAAAAUCCAACAUCAAGUUUUGUACAACACCAUGAUACUAGAGCUUACAGUACAAAAAACCCAGCGACAUGCCGAAAUCAAAAUGCUAACAACCUUGAACCUGAGUAGAGCUCGACGACACCGACUGUUAGAGCUGGAGAAUUUGGCCAAUCGUAGCUUCCAGG